Long non-coding RNA from Gorilla gorilla gorilla (western lowland gorilla), 337 nucleotides. RefSeq lists it as uncharacterized. Lineage: Eukaryota; Metazoa; Chordata; Mammalia; Primates; Hominidae. The transcript has 3 exons. The record is from RefSeq and is a predicted model, not a curated record.
AGCAGCAUGAGCCUCUCCAUGAAAGCAUGAGGGGAGAAGACCUCUUCUCUGCCUUAUCCCAGGUCUUCCAGGAUGGGUGUCUCCUUUGAGAAGCAGGACUGCUUUUAUAAGUCUUAGGUCUAGUGGAAGCUGCUUCGGAGCCAUGGAGAAAAGGCAGCCUGCGCUGAUUGACCAUGAGCCUGAGUACACUGCAUGAACCUUUGGAAGUACCUCUUCUAUGUCUGCCUGAAAGUCUUUGAAAUCGGUGUGUAUGUUACACCUACAACACAUCCCACACUGGAGGAGCCACCCUCCCAGGGCGAGACGGCAACACAGGCCUCCUGGCCACCCACACAGG